RNAcentral lists this ribosomal RNA (389 nucleotides) under uncultured bacterium. RNAcentral's name for it is "bacterial SSU rRNA". It matches the Rfam family "Bacterial small subunit ribosomal RNA", at positions 47 to 433 of the family's 1533-position model. The record is from RNAcentral.
CCUAACACAUGCAAGUCGAACGGUAACAGGAAACAGCUUGCUGUUUCGCUGACGAGUGGCGGACGGGUGAGUAAUGUCUGGGAAACUGCCUGAUGGAGGGGGAUAACUACUGGAAACGGUAGCUAAUACCGCAUAACGUCGCAAGACCAAAGAGGGGGACCUUCGGGCCUCUUGCCAUCGGAUAUGCCCAGAUGGGAUUAGCUAGUAGGUGGGGUAACGGCUCACCUAGGCGACGAUCCCUAGCUGGUCUGAGAGGAUGACCAGCCACACUGGAACUGAGACACGGUCCAGACUCCUACGGGAGGCAGCAGUGGGGAAUAUUGCACAAUGGGCGCAAGCCUGAUGCAGUCAUGCCGCGUGUAUGAAGAAGGCCUUCGGGUUGUAAAGAC